Molecule: ribosomal RNA, 253 nt
Filed under: uncultured bacterium
Lineage: Bacteria
Description: partial 16S ribosomal RNA
Rfam family: Bacterial small subunit ribosomal RNA
Source: RNAcentral
UACGUAGGGUGCAAGCGUUGUCCGGAAUUAUUGGGCGUAAAGAGCUCGUAGGCGGUUUGUUGCGUCUAUCGUGAAAACCUGCAGCUUAACUGUGGGCUUGCGGUGGAUACGGGCAGACUUGAGUUCGGUAGGGGAGACUGGAAUUCCUGGUGUAGCGGUGAAAUGCGCAGAUAUCGGGAGGAACACCUGUGGCGAAAGCGGCGCACUGGACCAUAACUGACGCUGAGGCGCGAAAGCGUGGGGAGCGAACAGG